RNAcentral lists this non-coding RNA (90 nucleotides) under unclassified sequences. RNAcentral's name for it is "pemK RNA". It matches the Rfam family "pemK RNA". The record is from RNAcentral.
AUAAUGAUACUUCCGUCCAGUCACAGCCCCGAAAGGGAUCACGCAAUGAGGACGGCCGCAGAGAUCCUGCCGGGGGUGAGAGGCCCAUGG